Long non-coding RNA from Vitis vinifera (wine grape), 561 nucleotides. RefSeq lists it as uncharacterized. The transcript has 4 exons. NCBI's taxonomy places the organism in Eukaryota, Viridiplantae, Streptophyta, Magnoliopsida, Vitales, Vitaceae. The record is from RefSeq and is a predicted model, not a curated record.
AAAUGUGAAAAAAAACUUAUGUUGAGAUAAUGUGGUGGUGAAAGUAUGUUUGAUUUAUUAUAUCCGAAAUCAUAUUAUAAAAAUUGACUUAAAUGAUUUGAUUUAAUUUUUAGGAGCGAACGCGAUGGUCUUGAAGUUGUUAGAAAUCCAAAGAGGCCUAUCGGCGCUUGGAUACAUUACUAUAAUGAUCAAUUAGCCAUGAUGAAAGAGAAGGAUAAAGGAGUGAAGAUAAAUGAUGAUUUGAGGAAAAAAUUGGGCAAGAAGUGGAAUGCACUUUCAAAAGUAGAAAAAGAAAAUUUCAUGGCAAAGUCCAAAGAAAGUUCAAAACAAUAUUCACUUCAAAAGGGUGUGGUUCCAAAGUUAUAUCUUCAGACUCGAUGCUCCCCCGAGUGAGUGAUUAGAGUGAUUGAAAAAUUAGAACCAAAGCAAAAGGCAGCCAUAGAAGAAAUAGGAUUUGGUAGCCUCUUGCAACUUCGAUGUAGGAAAAUUGAUCAUGGGUUAUGUCUUUGGUUGAUAAAUAGUUUUAAUCCGAACACUUAUAUGUUACAGUUGUAUAAUACU